Molecule: ribosomal RNA, 497 nt
Filed under: uncultured bacterium
Lineage: Bacteria
Description: partial 16S ribosomal RNA
Rfam family: Bacterial small subunit ribosomal RNA
Source: RNAcentral
GACGAACGCUGGCGGCGUGCCUAAUACAUGCAAGUUGAGCGCUGAAGGUUGGUACUUGUACCAACUGGAUGAGCAGCGAACGGGUGAGUAACGCGUGGGGAAUCUGCCUUUGAGCGGGGGACAACAUUUGGAAACGAAUGCUAAUACCGCAUAAAAACUUUAAACACAAGUUUUAAGUUUGAAAGAUGCAAUUGCAUCACUCAAAGAUGAUCCCGCGUUGUAUUAGCUAGUUGGGUAGGUAAAGGCUCACCAAGGGGAUGAUACAUAGCCGACCGGAGAGGGUGAUCGGGCACAUUGGGACCGAGGAACGGCCCAAACUCCUACGGGAGGCAGCAGUAGGGAAUCUUCGGCAAUGGACGAAAGUCUGACCGAGCAACGCCGCGUGAGUGAAGAAGGGUUUCGGAUCGUAAAACUCUGUUGGUAGAGAAGAACGUUGGUGAGAGUGGAAAGCUCAUCAAGUGACGGUAACUACCCAGAAAGGGACGGCUAACUACGUG